AAUUUUAAUUCAAGAUCAUCUAACAAUGCCAUUAAGCUUUUGAGUAUUUUACAAUCAGCAACCCAACUAGAGAAUGGAUCCAAAUUCUCUACUUGCAAGGAUUUACUCCCUAGUUCCUAAAUUAGAUACAUUAAAAUACACUUCUCAACACCUCCAUCAAAAUUAAAAUGCUUAAGUAGAGCUUACAUUGCAAGGAAAAGAAACAUAACUAUAUGCUGUGUAUUUAUCAAUCCAAAAGUCAAGCAUAACUUCUACAGCACUCCCCUAACAUCAACAUCGGCACCACCCUUCAAGUGGAAGCACCCAAAUAAUUUGACCCCAACUAUGUCUACUGAACAUCAUCAUGGUUCGUCCACAAAAUAAUGCAGCCACCUGUUUUUUUCAUUGCAUCUAGAUCAUUCUUUCUUUGUAUGAAAUACAAGAGCUCUCUACAACAAAAACCAUGACAGACAUAAAACCUUCAUAUAAAAUUACUACAUUGAUAGAGAUUAAAAAAUUAAAAAAAAAAAUAGAUAGAAACACAGAUCGGGCAAAUAGAGAUAUCUGCCAUGUAAAUCUUUGAGCUGCAAUAUUUAUAAUUGAACAAGUAAAUUACACUUGCAUUUGGCUUGAGAAUGAUUUACACAGCCCAGUAAAAUAUUCAAAGUAAAAAAAUUCAACAUACACCCUAUAUCAUUUUCACUGGAAAUGUAAUACAGCAUGAAAAACAAACAAAGUAAGCUUACUAGUUUAUUACUCAUAAACAAAUGAAAACAUACACACAAAGGGUGUCUUAUAUAGUUACUUUGUUCUUAAUUUACUUCGUUAUUUUCACCAAUAGAUUAGACCUUAUCAAUAGAUUCAAUGAUACUUAAGCAAAUUUUACUUUGUAAAAAAACAAAAAUUAUUGUAGAAACUCUCCACACAAAGGAAUAAAAGAUGUGAAAAUUCAAGAGGAAAAGAAAAGGCUUUCUGAUGAUAACAAUAUAAAAUCCUAAUGGAUUAUGGCAGGAAGACCACAAAAACAUAUUUGAUUUGGCUGCAUAAGAAAUUUGAACAGAUUUAAUUUAUGAAAUUCAAAACCUAAGAUUGUAUUGUCUUGUUUCAUAUGCCCAUGACUAUUGGGUUGCAUGCAUAGUGCGAUUGAUCAUCUAAGUAGGAGAAAUUUUAACAUUAUGUUUGGUUUAAUUAUUAGGUGGAGGGCGACAAGGAAACCAAAAGAGAUUAUCAGAAAGCAGAGGGAAGAGGAAUUGUUUAAAUUAAUUUCAAUUGUUUAAAUAAAUUUCAUUUUUUUUUAUGUAGUGGAAAAUGAGAUAUAUUAUUUUUAAUUACAAUCCUACAUCUCAUGCUAAAAUGUUGGACGUAAAUUCCCCUCUAAAAAAUUUAUCUUCAAAUCACCUAUCUUGAUAUCAAAUUUCUGGUGUAUUCAAGAAUAAGAACAAUUCUCCAUUCAGGAAUUCUUUUUCUUUAUAAGCUUCAAACCAAACAAGGAAAAAUAAGAAUAUCAAACUUUUCCCCUUUCCUUAUUUCCCAUUCUUUCCAAACAAAGUAACAAACAUUGUGCAAUAGUUCUCAUAGCCCCUGCCCCAUUAUAGGUUUAUAAGUGUAGCCUAGAUCACUGAAGACUUAGCAUAUAUUGAACACCCCAUCACUAAGACUAAUUGUUAUGUUCUAUACUGAAAGGUCAAAGGUAUGGUACUACCAAUAUUUCAGAUUUAGCAACAUGUAUGGCACAUGGGUUUCAAUAGAUGCAUAUUGAAGUUCUGAGGAACUGAAUACAAUAUAUUAUUGGAUAAUGGAAUGAAUGAUCUCCUUGAUGCUACAGACAGUAGUUAAGUAGUCUUUUUUUCUCUGCCAGAAAUAUUGCAUGCCCAGGCAAGCUUGAAACAAAUAAAAAAAACAUGGCAAAUAUAGUUAAUUAAAAUCAGACCUACUUAUUGAGCUGCAUCUUCAGAAAAGCGAGCAUCAAAAGGAGCAGAGGAAUGGGCAUGCGCUGCAACACCACCAGCUGCACCUGAACCAUGCUGCAGUUCAAUAACAAGCCAUCGUACAGCUUUACUCAUCUGCUCCAACCGAACAGCACUAAUGGGUGGAAGACCUGUUGUCCCAGCCUGUCCUGACUUCCCUGUCACAGAUCCAGUGGCCUCAUCCACCAGACACUCUGAUCCUAUCCUCUGCUUCACAGACUCAACAAACUCCUCUGCCUGAUCACAGGCCACCCUAAACAACUCCCACCUCUGCUUAAAAUUUUCCAAUGCAGCAUCAGUGGCUGCUGUUUUCUGUGCACCAGCAACCUCCUUGGCCUCAAGCACAUUAGCUGCUGCAGCCACAAACUCCUGAUAUGCAUUGUUUAAAGAGUCUACAAGGUUGUCCAUCACAGCCCCGCUUAUGCUUCUCCUCAGCACAGCUAACUUUCAAGAUUUGGUAACAACUGCAUGAACUGAGACAUAAUGAGACGUGACACAAAGUAUAAAAUGAUUAAUAAACAUCUUGUUCCCCGAUUGAACAAAUUAACAAAAAUUUCCCAUUACAAUUUUCAAUUCUAAUUCAGAACAAUAACAAUCGGCAGCACCAAAUUCUAAUAGUUUCAUCAAGAACAGCAAUUUCAAACCAAAAUAUAGAUUAAGCACAUUAAAUUUACGGAAUAAUUUAGUAUAAUUCAUUAUUCAAGUUCUAAAUAAGCAGCAAAAACAAAAAGGAUUCACAAGAUACUUUCUGAUUUAGAACAUUUCGGGAGUUAAUUUGGUACUAUAACCCUUUGUUUGGACUGAGGAAAAUGGAGAGAAGAGAUAAUUUCUUUAAAUUCCUGUUUGGAUAUCAAAUAGAAGAGAGAAUUGAAGAGAAAGGAAGAGAAAGAAUGAGAAAUUUAAACCCAUAAUAUUUCUCUCCAAAUUGCUGGAAAAUGGAAAGGAAUGAUUGUUAAAAUAUUUAAAUAUCCUUCUACAACGUAAACAUAAGAAAGAAAAUGAGGGUAUAAUAGGUAUUUCCCCUCUAUUCUUUUAAGAAAGAAAUUACAUUUCUCUCCUAUUCUGAUAAUCUAUCCAAACAACAUAGAGUAAAUUAAAUUUCCUUUCUUUUCUUUUCUCUUCAUUUUCCCUCUUUAAUUUCUCUCCAUUUCCCCUGACAAGUGAAGGAUCCAAACAAAGGGUUAGGGUAGAGCGGCAGAGCCAUAAUGCUCUACAUAGUUUUCAGCAUAAACAAGGUCAACAAUACAGGACAUACCUUAACUAUCACUUCCGCAAAAUUACAUAUUAAUAAAAUAUUUUAUCAAAAUGAAAACCCUUUCCCAGGAGAUGGAGCAUUAGGUGAGAGGUCCCUUGUUGGGGCAUAUCAUACAGCAAAGACAAUGUUAUUUAUUUAGAUUAAACACUAAGUCAAUAAAGUCAGAAGCCAAACAUUAAUAUGAUGUAACCAACAAAAAUGAGUAGACUUACAUUGAAGCACUUAGUUGAGACUCAUCCGUAGCCCAAGUUUUUCCCAAAGUAGUCAUGGCAACACCAGCCAUGCUUACAAGGACAGCUACUACUUUCGCUGCAUUUAAAGUAUCUUGGCCCAAAAAUACACCAAUGAAAAGAGUAAAAAGUCCUGAUGUUGAUGACAAAACUGUUGUACUUGCAACACUUGUACGUGCAAGUGCAGCAUUUGAUAAAUACUCUGUUACAAACCAGAUUGGGGC
This 3655-nucleotide unclassified non-coding RNA is filed under the name Hevea brasiliensis (rubber tree). Lineage: Eukaryota; Viridiplantae; Streptophyta; Magnoliopsida; Malpighiales; Euphorbiaceae. The record is from RNAcentral.